GGUAGUUCAGUGGUAGAAUUCUUGCCUUCCAUGCAGGAGACCUGGGUUCAAUUCCCAGCC
Molecule: transfer RNA, 60 nt
Filed under: Loxodonta africana (African savanna elephant)
Lineage: Eukaryota; Metazoa; Chordata; Mammalia; Proboscidea; Elephantidae
Rfam family: tRNA
About the family: Transfer RNA (tRNA) molecules are approximately 80 nucleotides in length. Their secondary structure includes four short double-helical elements and three loops (D, anti-codon, and T loops). Further hydrogen bonds mediate the characteristic L-shaped molecular structure. tRNAs have two regions of fundamental functional importance: the anti-codon, which is responsible for specific mRNA codon recognition, and the 3' end, to which the tRNAs corresponding amino acid is attached (by aminoacyl-tRNA synthetases). tRNAs cope with the degeneracy of the genetic code in two manners: having more than one tRNA (with a specific anti-codon) for a particular amino acid; and 'wobble' base-pairing, i.e. permitting non-standard base-pairing at the 3rd anti-codon position.
Source: Rfam by way of RNAcentral